AACCCUUAUGACAAAACCUAAAGGGUUACUGAGCAUGCGCAGUUAGAGGUACCAUCCCCCCUUAGCUCUAGUGGCGCAUGCGCUGACGUUCGCGGUAGGUGGGGGGAAAGCGCCGUCGCCGUGGCAGCGGAAGGGAGACGGGCCUGUUGAUUGGGAUGGCUAUGGAGGCCCUGGGGGAGGCCGGCCUGCACUUUGACGAGCUCAACAAACUGAGGGUCCUGGAUCCUGAAGUGGCUCAGAAUACAACCGAGCUGAAGGAGGAGUGCAAGGACUUUGUAGAAAAAAUAGGCCAGUUCCAGAAAAUUGUUGGUGGUUUAAUUGAGAUAGUCGAUCAACUCGCUAAAGAAGCUGAGAAUGAAAAGAUGAAGGCUAUUGGUGCUCGAAAUCUUCUGAAAUCAGUUGCUAAGCAAAGAGAAGCCCAACAGCAGCAGCUCCAAGCUUUAAUAGCUGAAAAGAAAAUGCAGCUUGAAAGAAUUGCUGUACUAUUCCGGUGCCAAAGGGAUGCCCAUUCCCCAGUUUCUGGCCAACUCUCUCAAACAGAUUGCUAUGAAGUGCUGGCAGAAGGUGGUAUGUGACUUCCACCAACCUAAAUUUCUUUUACUGCCUUCAAUUUGAACAGACGUGAGGAGUUACAGCAAGCUGAGGUACCGGAUAGAGUACGAUGCACUGUCAAAAGUAGAAGCUGAACAAAAUGAGUUCAUUGAUCAGUUCAUUCUACAGAAAUGACAUGGAAAGGAAAGACACUAAUGAAAAAACAUUUUGGCUGUAAUGAUGCAGUGAAGUUUGCAGUGAUUAUUCCAUUGUGAUACAUUCCAUCAAAAGUGCUUUCAAAUAAGGUGUAAUUUUGCAUUGCCUUUUCAUAUUUAAUAUAUAUCAAGCUAUUAUUUCUAUAAUACAGGUUUGUAUGUGGUUUAUUUGAACUACAACUUACAGUGCACAAUUUUAAUACCUACUUUUUUAGGAUGAUUUUCCUGAAGCAUCAGAACACAAUCAUUUCACAUGUAAAUAUUUUGUUAGCCCAAAUUAUUUUAUAUAUCUUAUGUUAUUGUUCAUAAUAGUUCCUUCAACUUGUGACAGCGUGGUCUACACACUUUUCAGAGUGUCCUUUUGCCAGCAUUAAUAAAAUUGAUGUUUGAAACUGUGCCUUACCCAUCGCAGCCGUUUCUGGUGUCACUGUGCACUGUAUGGUUGCCUAUGAAAUAAGGAGUGCUGUGGAAAGCAAACUUGCAGCAAAACUAGCCAGAACAGUGGCUUGACCUGCUACCCUCAGCAGGAAAUUUAGACAACAUUUGGCACUGGGCUGUGAAUCAGUUGACCUCUCAGCCUCUUUGUUUAAAUGAGCAACAUGGUUUCACUAUUGCUAGUUUAUCUGGACCUACCUCCUCCUUUCCCACUCCUCAGCACUGCAGAAGUUCUGUGGCUAUAUUCACAAAUAGGGAAAGUGAUUUUAUGAUAACUUCACAAAGGUGUGAGAUGUGUACACAUUCUGCCCCUUGUUACUGAAUUGUCUUAGUAUAAAAGGAGCAGUACAGUGAAAACCAGCACUGCAUGUAUAUCCCUUUAUUAUUGAACCACUUCCACUCAACGUAGUUCACUCCAGGUGCUGGAUCUGCCUCGGUGUGGUAAAUUCUUGGAAACAUCCCACUUACAAAGAACAGGAGUAAAUUUGAUCAAUUCCUCUCAUGAUUAGCCACAAACAUGUAGGUUUGAGGAUCAUAUUAUUCUGAAUGAAAAUUCAGUCUCUUUUAUCAAGGUAAGUUAUUGGGAUAACUACUUCACAGCAAUCUAAGUUCACUUUUGAUUACCUGUUACACUAAUGCAUAUUUAAUACAUAAUAAUGCUCCUCUACCUAAAAUAUACUGAAUAGAUUUUGUUUGAGUUUAACCCAGUGGAAACACAGUCCAAGUGACCAUUUCAAUUGAUAUUUAUAUAAAUUCAAUGAGGUAUACUGUGCUCACAAACUAAGCUAAGCAUCAUCCUCACCUAGGGACCAAAGUAUUUCAACGGAAUUUUAUUUAGCUGUGAUUAUAUGCUACAAUAGUAUUUGAGAUUAAUAUGAACACAAAUGUGAAUUUUUCAGUAUUUCUCCAAUCGUAUUACACACUGCAGCUUUACUUGUGGUUGAACAGCUUGCAGCCCAUUAAAAUGUCUGCUUCUGA
Molecule: RNA transcript, 2159 nt
Organism: Carcharodon carcharias (great white shark)
Lineage: Eukaryota; Metazoa; Chordata; Chondrichthyes; Lamniformes; Lamnidae
Gene: ift20
Gene name: intraflagellar transport 20 homolog (Chlamydomonas)
Exons: 5
Source: RefSeq, a predicted model, not a curated record